RNAcentral lists this ribosomal RNA (422 nucleotides) under uncultured bacterium. RNAcentral's name for it is "partial 16S ribosomal RNA". It matches the Rfam family "Bacterial small subunit ribosomal RNA", at positions 360 to 774 of the family's 1533-position model. The record is from RNAcentral.
AAUUUUGGACAAUGGGGGAAACCCUGAUCCAGCCAUCCCGCGUGUAUGAUGAAGGCCUNCGUGUUNUNAAGUACUUUUGUCAGGGNAAAAAAGGUUCUGGCUAAUACCCGGAACUGAUGACGGUACCUGAAGAAUAAGCACCGGCUAACUACGUGCCAGCAGCCGCGGUAAUACGUAGGGUGCAAGCGUUAAUCGGAAUUACUGGGCGUAAAGCGUGUGUAGGCGGUUCGGAAAGAACGAUGUGAAAUCCCAGGGCUCAACCUUGGAACUGCAUUUUUAACUGCCGAGCUAGAGUAUGUCAGAGGGGGGUAGAAUUCCACGUGUAGCAGUGAAAUGCGUAGAUAUGUGGAGGAAUACCGAUGGCGAAGGCAGCCCCCUGGGAUAAUACUGACGCUCAUGCACGAAAGCGUGGGGAGCAAACA